AGAGUUUGAUCCUGGCUCAGGAUGAACGCUGGCGGCGUGCUUAACACAUGCAAGUCGAACGAACCUUCGGGUUAGUGGCGGACGGGUGAGUAACGCGUGGGAAUCUGCCCUCAGGAGGGGGAUAACGGUUGGAAACGACCGCUAAUACCCCAUAUGCCGAAAGGUGAAAUGAAUUUCGCCUGAGGAUGAGCCCGCGUCUGAUUAGCUAGUUGGUAGGGUAAUGGCCUACCAAGGCUUCGAUCAGUAGCUGGUCUGAGAGGAUGAUCAGCCACACUGGGACUGAGACACGGCCCAGACUCCUACGGGAGGCAGCAGUGGGGAAUUUUCCGCAAUGGGCGAAAGCCUGACGGAGCAACGCCGCGUGAGGGACGAAGGCCUCUGGGCUGUAAACCUCUUUUCUCAAGGAAGAAGAUAUGACGGUACUUGAGGAAUAAGCCACGGCUAAUUCCGUGCCAGCAGCCGCGGUAAUACGGGAGUGGCAAGCGUUAUCCGGAAUUAUUGGGCGUAAAGCGUCCGCAGGCGGCCUUCCAAGUCUGCUGUUAAAGCGUGGAGCUUAACUCCAUUAUGGCAGUGGAAACUGUAAGGCUUGAGUAUGGUAGGGGCAGAGGGAAUUCCCGGUGUAGCGGUGAAAUGCGUAGAUAUCGGGAAGAACACCAGUGGCGAAGGCGCUCUGCUGGGCCAUUACUGACGCUCAUGGACGAAAGCCAGGGGAGCGAAAGGGAUUAGAUACCCCUGUAGUCCUGGCCGUAAACGAUGAACACUAGGUGUCGGGGGAAUCGACCCCUUCGGUGUCGUAGCUAACGCGUUAAGUGUUCCGCCUGGGGAGUACGCACGCAAGUGUGAAACUCAAAGGAAUUGACGGGGGCCCGCACAAGCGGUGGAGUAUGUGGUUUAAUUCGAUGCAACGCGAAGAACCUUACCAGGGUUUGACAUCCUGCGAACCUCUUAGAAAUUUGAGGGUGCCUUCGGGAAUGCAGUGACAGGUGGUGCAUGGCUGUCGUCAGCUCGUGUCGUGAGAUGUUGGGUUAAGUCCCGCAACGAGCGCAACCCACGUUUUUAGUUGCCAGCAUUUAGUUGGGCACUCUAGAAAGACCGCCGGUGAUAAACCGGAGGAAGGUGUGGAUGACGUCAAGUCAUCAUGCCCCUUACACCCUGGGCUACACACGUACUACAAUGCUACGGACAAAGGGCAGCAAACUCGCGAGAGCUAGCAAAUCCCAUAAACCGUGGCUCAGUUCAGAUCGUAGGCUGCAACUCGCCUACGUGAAGUAGGAAUCGCUAGUAAUCGCAGGUCAGCAUACUGCGGUGAAUACGUUCCCGGGCCUUGUACACACCGCCCGUCACACCAUGGAAGUUGGCCAUGCCCGAAGUCGUUACUCCAACCCUUGUGGAGGAGGACGCCGAAGGUGGGGCUAAUGACUGGGGUGAAGUCGUAACAAGGUAGCCGUACCGGAAGGUGCGGCUG
This 1465-nucleotide ribosomal RNA is filed under the name Prochlorococcus sp. W9. RNAcentral's name for it is "bacterial SSU rRNA". It matches the Rfam family "Bacterial small subunit ribosomal RNA". Lineage: Bacteria; Bacillati; Cyanobacteriota; Cyanophyceae; Synechococcales; Prochlorococcaceae. The record is from RNAcentral.